RNAcentral lists this long non-coding RNA (293 nucleotides) under Vigna radiata. Its description in RNAcentral is "long non-coding RNA (VRAD_LNC001578)". The record is from RNAcentral. Lineage: Eukaryota; Viridiplantae; Streptophyta; Magnoliopsida; Fabales; Fabaceae.
UGGGAAAGAAAGGAAGGAAAGAAAUGAAGCAGCAUAACACAAAUUGAGGAGAAAACCUUACUAGAGCAAAAGGGUGGGUGGAGACCUUUCUCCUCUGAGACGAAACUAUUCCCUCAAUGCGUGGACUGUAGGCUCUUUAGUAUCAAGCACGUCGAGAAAGAACCCACCUGGUAGAGGAAGGAAGAUCUGCACCUGGUAGAGGAAGGAAGAUCUGCACCUGGUACGGCGACGCACCACCGCGACACACCACCGCGAUACACCACCGCACCACCACGAACAAUAAGAAGACACCG